UGCUAUGGGUCGCUGAUUGCCAGCGCCUGCAGCUAGCUAGCUGUACUAAAGCUCCGGUCGGGCCGGUCACGUAGUUGUUGACGAGUUGGUGAACUUGUCUUAGCUUAGAUUUCACAUUAUUCAUGCCUACAUGAGCUGCAUACAACUGCUCUAAUCGCUAGGAUUGGGAUGGACAUUGAUUUCAUUUCCAUUCAGCUUUUGGACUGUACCGGUACUGUAACAUAGUAUGGAUGGUCAAUAUGAAGCAAGCUUCAUUGAAUUCCUCCAAGAGCUCUGUACUCUGUUCUGAUUAUUUUGAAGAUGCUUGCUUUGACUGGACUGGGCAAACGAUUCGUCUUAGACAGGAUGCUGCCCCAACCAUAUUUGAUUUCCCGCCUCGUCUUAAAAAUGACCCAAACCAAGGAAUUCCUGGAAAGAAUUUCGAUUUUGCAAACACCCUCCCAGAUACUGCAAAGACACCUGUACCAAAGUCUUCAGCACCUUCAUUUCUCGAGGACCACUACUACUCAAUACCAGAAAGUCCAAGAGGAGUAAAGUGGAAGUUAACACCAAUAAUGGACUGUUAUUAAAAACUU
RNAcentral lists this long non-coding RNA (575 nucleotides) under Lytechinus variegatus (green sea urchin). RNAcentral's name for it is "uncharacterized LOC121413818, transcript variant X2". Lineage: Eukaryota; Metazoa; Echinodermata; Echinoidea; Temnopleuroida; Toxopneustidae. The record is from RNAcentral.